GUCCCGGCUUCCGGAAAGGGAUUUCUGUGGAAGUGGGAGGGUGGAUACGCCACAGGUUCAUGAAUUAUGUAUCAAGACACAAGAGAGGUACCAAUUCUUAGAUAUGGGUCUCAUUCCGCUUCCCACCAAACUGGAGUAGGCCAAUAUAGGAAGUUACCGUUUUUCCCUUUUCCUCUACCUCAAGAAUGUGUCAAUGCUUCAAAUAUGCCAGAAAGGAUAAGGCAGUGGGCCUUCAUGUGUGCCUUCUGCAUAUGGAUGAGCUGCAGGGUCAGGCUGUCCCUCCGAAGAGACAGUGCUGAAGACAGUGUCUUGCUGUGUUGUCCAGGCUGGCCUCAAACUUGUCCUGAUGAUUCUCCUCCUCAAUUUCCCGACAUUGCCUUACAGCUGUGCAUACCUGAGGCUGGCUUCAAGUGUCUUUUUAUCAUACCAGGAAUAAAUCUGAAGUCCUUGUAAGAAAUGAUAGCUCUGACUCCUCUGUCCCUCCUUUCCCAGCUGCCUGAGCUCCAAGAACAAUCAGUAGGUUCCAACAUCCUGUAGCCACCUGAACCUGAGAACAAAGCCUGCUCUGCUACAGGCAUAUGCACCCCACCCACUAGUUCACAGUACCCAUCACCAUAGCCCCAUCCUCAGCCAUUCUCACUCCCCAAUCUCAUUCCCAUUGCAUCAUCCCACCUAAGCCCAUCCCACUAACCCCUCCAACCCUCCCCAUAAACUAUUCCACUCAACCCUGGACUUGACUGUCCUUUGGAGUCACUCCAGAAGGUCCCACCUGGAAGCCCCAAACUCAGACUGGCUGUGUGUUUACCAGCUUGUCACCAUUUACCUAACCAGAAGCUGACCAGUUUAUACUCCUCUUGGUACACAGCACUCCUGCCAAAUCAGACUUGUUGCUGUUGUAGAACGUCAGAAACCCCUUUCUUAGCAUUUCUACAAUUUGAUUCCCUCUUCCUAGAAUGGUUUUUCGCCCUUCCCUCCCAUACUACCUGCCGAUCAUUCAUAUCUCUACUCAGAAUCUAAAGUGCCCUUACCACCACCACCUCCUCCUCC
Molecule: long non-coding RNA, 1047 nt
Filed under: Cavia porcellus (domestic guinea pig)
Lineage: Eukaryota; Metazoa; Chordata; Mammalia; Rodentia; Caviidae
Description: lncRNA (ENSCPOG00000034402.1)
Source: RNAcentral